This 469-nucleotide ribosomal RNA is filed under the name uncultured bacterium. RNAcentral describes it as "partial 16S ribosomal RNA". It matches the Rfam family "Bacterial small subunit ribosomal RNA", at positions 28 to 507 of the family's 1533-position model. The record is from RNAcentral.
GACGAACGCUGGCGGCGUGCUUAACACAUGCAAGUCGAACGGAAAGGCCCUGCUUGCAGGGUGCUCGAGUGGCGAACGGGUGAGUAACACGUGGGUGAUCUGCCCCUUACUUUGGGAUAAGCCUGGGAAACUGGGUCUAAUACUGGAUAGGACCAUGCUGUAGGUGGUGUGGUGGAAAGAUUAGUUUCGGUAAGGGAUGAGCUCGCGGCCUAUCAGCUUGUUGGUGGGGUAAUGGCCUACCAAGGCGUCGACGGGUAGCCGGCCUGAGAGGGUGGACGGCCACAUUGGGACUGAGAUACGGCCCAGACUCCUACGGGAGGCAGCAGUGGGGAAUAUUGCGCAAUGGGCGCAAGCCUGAUGCAGCGACGCCGCGUGGGGGAUGACGGCCUUCGGGUUGUAAACUCCUUUCAGCCAUGACGAAGCCCUUGUGGUGACGGUAGUGGUAGAAGAAGCACCGGCUAACUACGUG